AACGCUAGCUACAGGCUUAACACAUGCAAGUCGAGGGGCAGCACUAGGUAGCAAUACUGAGGUGGCGACCGGCGCACGGGUGCGUAACGCGUAUCCAACCUUCCCGAUACUCAGGGAUAGCCUUCCGAAAGGGAGAUUAAUACCUGAUGGUGUUUCAAUUCCGCAUGUUAAUGAAACUAAAGAUUUAUCGGUAUCGGAUGGGGAUGCGUGACAUUAGAUAGUAGGCGGGGUAACGGCCCACCUAGUCUACGAUGUCUAGGGGUUCUGAGAGGAAGGUCCCCCACACUGGAACUGAGACACGGUCCAGACUCCUACGGGAGGCAGCAGUGAGGAAUAUUGGUCAAUGGUCGGAAGACUGAACCAGCCAAGUAGCGUGAAGGAUGAAGGUUCUAUGGAUUGUAAACUUCUUUUAUACGGGAAUAAAACCUCCCACGUGUGGGAGCUUGUAUGUACCGUAUGAAUAAGCAUCGGCUAACUCCGUGCCAGCAGCCGCGGUAAUACGGAGGAUGCGAGCGUUAUCCGGAUUUAUUGGGUUUAAAGGGAGCGUAGACGGGAGAUUAAGUCAGUUGUGAAAGGCUGCGGCUCAACCGCAGCACUGCAGUUGAUACUGGUUUCCUUGAGUGCGGUUGAGGUAUGUGGAAUUCGUGGUGUAGCGGUGAAAUGCUUAGAUAUCACGAAGAACUCCGAUUG
This 690-nucleotide ribosomal RNA is filed under the name uncultured bacterium. RNAcentral's name for it is "bacterial SSU rRNA". It matches the Rfam family "Bacterial small subunit ribosomal RNA", at positions 32 to 715 of the family's 1533-position model. The record is from RNAcentral.